UUAAAUUGAAGAGUUUGAUCAUGGCUCAGAUUGAACGCUGGCGGCAGGCCUAACACAUGCAAGUCGAACGGUAACAGAAAGCAGCUUGCUGCUUUGCUGACGAGUGGCGGACGGGUGAGUAAUGU
Molecule: ribosomal RNA, 125 nt
Filed under: Escherichia coli
Lineage: Bacteria; Pseudomonadati; Pseudomonadota; Gammaproteobacteria; Enterobacterales; Enterobacteriaceae
Description: partial 16S ribosomal RNA
Rfam family: Bacterial small subunit ribosomal RNA
Source: RNAcentral